AUGAAUUGAAGACUUGAAGCUGAUUUAAUCGUCUAGUACAUAGUUUUGUGCUCGAAAGCAUGUACCUCGGUCAGUUCGCUGGGAGUGGGAUUCGAGACUUGCUUAAUUCCAUGUGUGCCGGCCAGUGUAACCAUGAAAGGUGACCUCAUCAGCGGAGACAAAAUUCCUCCUUGUAGUUUACGUGUUCCGAUGUUUCCAAAAGAGCACAAUUUCGCAAAGUGUAGUCCCAUUUGUAACCGGAAAAAGG
RNAcentral lists this long non-coding RNA (247 nucleotides) under Setaria viridis. RNAcentral's name for it is "long non-coding RNA (SVIR_LNC004779)". The record is from RNAcentral. Lineage: Eukaryota; Viridiplantae; Streptophyta; Magnoliopsida; Poales; Poaceae.